ACUUCGGGCUUGCCCGAGAUUGGAAUGAGUACAACGUACAAUCUUUAACGAGUACCAACUGGAGGGCAAGUCUGGUGCCAGCAGCCGCGGUAAUUCCAGCUCCAGUAGCGUAUACUAAAGUUGUUGCAGUUAAAAAGCUCGUAGUUGAAUUACUGUGUAGUGUACUUGCGGUCUCCGGACCAAUAUAUACUGCACAUCCAUCUGAACAGCACUUCUUGUCAUUCAUUUGUCGGUUGUGUGAUCAGAUACUUUACCUUGAGAAAAAUAGAGUGUUCCAAGCAGGCGUCCGCCUGAAUAAUAAAGCAUGGAAUAAUACAAUAGGACUGGGUUCUAUUGGUGCAUAGAACUUAGUAAUGAUUAAUAGGGACAGUUGGGGGCAUUUGUAUUUAAUUGUCAGAGGUGAAAUUCUUUGAUUUAUUAAAGACAAACCUAUGCGAAAGCAUUUGCCAAGGAUGUUUUCAUUAAUCAAGAACGAAAGUUAAGGGAUCGAAGACGAUCAGAUACCGUCGUAGUCUUAACCAUAAACUAUGCCGACUAGAGAUUGGAGGUGCAAUCUCAAUACUCCUUCAGCAUCUUAGGAGAAAUCAAAGUCUUUGGGUUCUGGGGGUAGUAUGGUCGCAAGACUGAAACUUAAAGGAAUUGACGGAAGGGCACCACAAGGUGUGGAGCCUGCGGCUUAAUUUGACCCAACACGGGGAAACUUACCAGGUCCAGACAUGGGAAGGAUUGACAGAUUGGAGAUCUUUCUUGAUUCCAUGGAUGGUGGUGCAUGGCCGUUCUUAGUUGGUGGAGUGAUUUGUCAGGUUAAUUCCGAUAACGAACGAGACCUCAACCUGCUAACUGGUUGCAGCUUCUUUCAAGUUGUAGACUUCUUAGAGGGACUAUAGGAUUUAACCUAAGGAAGUUUGAGGCAAUAACAGGUCUGUGAUGCCCUUAGAUGUCCUGGGCCGCACGCGCGCUACACUGAUGCAGGCACUAAGUCUCCAAUUUCGAAAGAUUUUGGGAACCUUCAAACUGCAUCGUGCUGGGGAUUGACACUUGUAAUUAUUUGUCAUCAACGAGGAAUACCUAGUAAGCGCAAGUCAUCAGCUUGCACUGAUUACGUCCCUGCCCUUUGUACACACCGCCCGUCGCUCCUACCGAUUGGGUGAUGCGGUGAGCCUUUCGGACGGGCGCUUCGGCGCCUGAAAGUUAUGCAAAUCUCAUCACUUAGAGGAAGGAGAAGUC
This 1227-nucleotide ribosomal RNA is filed under the name metagenome. RNAcentral describes it as "SSU rRNA". It matches the Rfam family "Eukaryotic small subunit ribosomal RNA", at positions 483 to 1790 of the family's 1831-position model. The record is from RNAcentral.